AUAGGAAAACACAAACUUCUUCUCUCUGCCAUUCUUUAUUGUUGAUGCAACCCUAGGAUCUCCUCUCUUAUCACUUGCUUCAUUCUAUUUCUCAGUAUGCCUCAUGCCCAUAUUAUUUAAAUGACUUGAUAAGAUGGAGAUAUUUCAUCUAUGGGGUGGAAAAUCCAAUCUGUUCACUUUGCAGCAUUCUUCUUAAAUCUUUUGAUGAACUCAUUGUAUUAUAUUUUUAUAGUCAUCAAAAUUUAGCUUAGAAAUUAAAAAUGAAGAUGCAUUUAUUUUUAAAAAGCGAAUCUCACAGAAGGUAGUCUACUCACACAAAUGGACUAUGCACUUGAAAAAAUAGAUUAAGGCACAAUCUGAGUUGUAUCAAUUGGUGAUAGCUUUUUACUGUAAUUUAUACAUGUUUAGCAGUUUGGUUAAAAAAAUAAACGAUAUUGUUUGACAGCCUGGAUUUGAAUUAUUGAUCCACAAUUACAUAGGUAUAUUAUCUUUGGCAGGCUUUUUAUCCACUUCAUGCCUCUGUCUCCUGUUUUAAGUAAUGAGACCAAUGACAGUAACUAACUCAAAGAAUUGUGAGGAUUAACUAAGUUAAUAUCUGUAAAGUAUAUACAAGAGUACCUGGGUCGUAAUUGACACUAAAUGUUUUUUCUCUUAUUAUGCAACAUAUUAGAAUGCAUCCCAAGUUAUUGAUGUUAUCAUUUGAAAAAUUAACUGUAUUAAAAUACAUUUUUAAUACAAUAAUAAAAACUCACGAUAUAUAGUGUGAAAACUCUAAAUAGCUUAACUUUAGUCUUUGAAAAGGUUAAAUUCAUUCUGAAAAGUGACAGUUGGAAAUGAGCUUUGAAAAUAAAAGUGUGUUCAAUGAUUACUGUCAAAAAACAUUAUUGAACAUUAAUUUGCACAUAGUAUUGGAGUUCUAUGAAUUACAAUUAGAAGUUUCAAGUUAUUUGGAGACAUCCUAUUAAAGCAUUUUACUUUCUUUUGAAGUACUGCCUAAAGAUGGUUUCUGUAAGGUUUUAAAAUAUUUUAUCAAUAUAAAAUAUAUUUUGAACUAAAAUAUGAGGGAAUUACAAUAAACAUAAUUGCAUAGUAGAUGUCUGAGAAAAGAUGAUGAUCAUAAUGAUAAUGAUGAUGAUAAUGAUAGUAAAAUGAUAUUAAUGUAAAUACCAUAAUUAUUUUCAUUUUGAUUAUGAAGAAUAAACUGGUGUGGCUCAGCUUUCUAGUUAAGGUAACUGUGAGUGGUAGAAAUAAUAAUACAAAUGGUGUAUUACUUCAAAAACACUUGGUUAAUAUUUAUUAUGAGUUAGUGUUUGAGGGAAAAGAGAUGUUAAAUAAAUAUAAGGGGAAAUAAUAGUACACACAUUAGAAGAAGGAAGGAAGGAAGCAAGGAAGGGAGGAAGGAAGCCAGGAAGAGAGAGAGGAAGGGAGGGAGGGAAGAAGGAAGGACGCAAGGAAGGAAGGAAGGAAAGGAGGAGGGAAGGAAAGGAGGAAGGAAGGAAGGAAAGGAGGAAGGAAGGAAGGAAAGGAAGGAAGGGAGGAAGGAAGGAAAGGAGGAAGGAAGGAAGGAAAGGAGGAAGGAAGGAAGGAAAGGAAGGAAGGGAGGAAGGAAGGAAAGGAGGAAGGAAGGAAGGAAAGGAGGAAGGAACGAGAGGAGGAAGGAAGGAAAGGAAGGAAGGAAAGGAGGAAGGAAGGAAAGGAGGAAGGAAGGAAGGAAAGGAAGGAAGGGAGGAAGGAAGGAAGGAAAGGAGGAAGGAACGGAGGAAGGGAGGGAUGUUUUAAUGAAAGAAGGAAGGAAGGGAGGAAGCAAGGAAAUGUGGAAGGAAGGAAGGAAAGGAAGGAAGGGAGGAAGGAAGGAAAGGAGGAAGGAAGGAAGGAAAGGAAGGAAGGAAGGAAGGAAGGAAAGGAGGAAGGAAGGAAGGAAAGGAGGAAGGAAGGAAGGAAAGGAGGAAGGAAGGGAGGAAGGAAGGAAAGAAGGAAGGAAGGAAAGGAGGAAGGAAGGGAGGAAGGGAGGGAGGAAGGAAGGAAAGAAGGAAGGAAGGGAGGAAGGAAGGAAGGGAGGGAGGGAGGAAGGAAGGAAGGAAGAAAGGAAGGAAGGAAGGAAGGAAAAGCUUUCCUAUUCGUAACAUGAACAUUUUUGUCUAUGAAAAACUCUAUUUAGUCUGGAUGGGGAGGAGUGAUUCCAAUAAAUCUGUAAAUGUAUAGUGAAUAUUUAUUUGAUAACAAAAAUAGUUCUAUUACUAAGUAUUCAAAUAAAACUGAUAAACGCAUUGUGACUUAACUUAGAAGUUUCUGACUGUAAAGUUGAAUCCUAGGAUACAAGGUAAGGAGAAUGUCAUCUGUGAUCCUGCAGGCUGAUAUCAAAAGGCUUGAACUGUGCAGCUCUUUAGAGCAAACGAUUAUCUGAUCCUGGAUGUCUAUCAUUUCUCAAGCCAUCAUUCUAUGUAAUGAGUUCUAAUUUAGAACUGAAGUAUUAAUAGUUCAUUCAAGUGUGAUUUUAUCAUUGUGAAGGCUUGAGGCCUCAGAUUUGCUUAAUUCUUAAAUUAUAUUUAAAGCUAGAAUUGUAUAUUUUAUAGAUAGAACAAAUCGAUAAAUAAAAAACAAAUAUGUGAUAUCUUCACAUCUGUUGAAGGUUUGUGAUGUCACAGGUGUAAAAUCUCUGAAAGGUUGUUUUAAUAAAUAGUAUUUUAUUACAGGGUCAGGAGAGACAUCAGCAACAAAGAAAACACAUAGUUAUAAAUAGCAGGUGUGGCCGGGCAUGGUGGCUCAUGCCUGUAUCCCAGCACUUUGGCAGGCCGACGGGGGUGGAUCAUGAGGUCAGGAGUUCAAGACCAGCCUGACCAAGAUGGUGAAACCCCGUCUGUACUAAAAAUACAAAAAUUAGCCAGGUGUGAUGGCACGUGCCUGUAAUCCCAGCUACUGGGGAGGCUGAGGCAGGAGAAUUGCUUAAACCCAGGAGGCGGAGCUUGCAGUGAGCCAGGAUCACGCCACUGCACUCCAGCCUGGGCAACAAAGCGAGACUCUGUCUCAAAAUAAAUAAAUAAAUACAUACAUACAUACAUACAUACAUAAAUACAUAAAUAAAAUAAAAUAAAUAAAGUAAAUAGCAGG
RNAcentral lists this long non-coding RNA (3108 nucleotides) under Homo sapiens (human). RNAcentral describes it as "HSALNT0357971". The record is from RNAcentral. Lineage: Eukaryota; Metazoa; Chordata; Mammalia; Primates; Hominidae.